UGCCAAAAAUACCUGGUUUGGUAGGGUCUU
RNAcentral lists this non-coding RNA (30 nucleotides) under Homo sapiens (human). Lineage: Eukaryota; Metazoa; Chordata; Mammalia; Primates; Hominidae. The record is from RNAcentral.